RNAcentral lists this ribosomal RNA (458 nucleotides) under uncultured bacterium. RNAcentral's name for it is "partial 16S ribosomal RNA". It matches the Rfam family "Bacterial small subunit ribosomal RNA", at positions 338 to 795 of the family's 1533-position model. The record is from RNAcentral.
CCUACGGGAGACAGCAGUGAGGAAUAUUGGUCAAUGGGCGAGAGCCUGAACCAGCCAAGUCGCGUGGGGGAGUACUGCCCUAUGGGUUGUAAACCUCUUUUGUCGGGGAGCAAAAGCCGGACGUGUCCGGCUGUGAGAGUACCCGAAGAAAAAGCAUCGGCUAACUCCGUGCCAGCAGCCGCGGUAAUACGGAGGAUGCGAGCGUUAUCCGGGUUUAUUGGGUUUAAAGGGUGCGCAGGCGGAUUUUUAAGUCAGCGGUAAAAUCGUGGGGCUCAACCCCAUCCAGCCGUUGAAACUGGGGAUCUAGAGUGUGCGAGAGGUAUGCGGAAUGCGUGGUGUAGCGGUGAAAUGCAUAGAUAUCACGCAGAACCCCGAUUGCGAAGGCAGCAUACCGGUGCACAACUGACGCUCAGGCACGAAAGCGUGGGUAUCGAACAGGAUUAGAUACCCGAGUAGUC